CGUCAGCUCGUGUCGUGAGAUGUUGGGUUAAGUCCCGCAACGAGCGCAACCCUCGUCCUAUGUUGCCAGCGGGUCAUGCCGGGACUCAUGGGAGACUGCCGGGGUCAACUCGGAGGAAGGUGGGGAUGACGUCAAAUCAUCAUGCCCCUUAUGUCUUGGGCUUCACGCAUGCUACAAUGGCCGGUACAAAGGGCUGCGAUACCGGCGAGGUGGAGCGAAUCCCAGAAAGCCGGUCUCAGUUCGGAUUGGGUCUGCAACUCGACCCCAUGAAGUCGGGGUCGCUAGUAAUCGCAGAUCAGCAACGCUGCGGUGAAUACGUUCCCGGGCCUU
Molecule: ribosomal RNA, 330 nt
Filed under: uncultured Cellulomonas sp.
Lineage: Bacteria; Bacillati; Actinomycetota; Actinomycetes; Micrococcales; Cellulomonadaceae
Description: bacterial SSU rRNA
Rfam family: Bacterial small subunit ribosomal RNA
Source: RNAcentral